ACGGCACCAUGCUGCCCUGAACACUUCUGAUACUCUCAGAUAUCAGCAGCUGAGCAGGAUCAGGCCUGGUUAGUUCCUGGAUGGAAAACCACCUUGGAAUAGCAGGAAUCUCCCGCC
RNAcentral lists this ribosomal RNA (117 nucleotides) under Pogona vitticeps (central bearded dragon). Lineage: Eukaryota; Metazoa; Chordata; Lepidosauria; Squamata; Agamidae. The record is from RNAcentral.